Molecule: non-coding RNA, 73 nt
Organism: Danionella cerebrum
Lineage: Eukaryota; Metazoa; Chordata; Actinopteri; Cypriniformes; Danionidae
Source: the annotation of a GenBank genome assembly
GCCCAGAUAGCUCAGUUGGUAGAGCAUCAGACUUUAAAUAUGAGGGUCCAAGUUUAAUUCCCUGUUUGGAACA